Arabidopsis thaliana x Arabidopsis arenosa is the source of this 128-nucleotide non-coding RNA. The record is from the annotation of a GenBank genome assembly. NCBI's taxonomy places the organism in Eukaryota, Viridiplantae, Streptophyta, Magnoliopsida, Brassicales, Brassicaceae.
CAAAAAAUUGGAUAUGACGAGCGUGGUUUUGGAUUUUCAUAGGAAGGCCAUUGGCCACAUGACAUGAGAGCCGUUUAAGCCGCCGUUAAAUAUGGAUGGAAGACAUCCGUCAGUGCCUGAGAAGUUGA